CCAAGAUGGCGGCAUUUUCGAAAAGGCCUAAGGAAGAACCGUCCUUGCACAUCCAGCUUGUGUUGGUUCAUUGAGAGCGCAUCGACUGAACACAACUGGAACCAACUAAGAGACCAACUGCAUCUAAAAUAAAGUCUUAAAGGAAAUGGUGCUGAGCAUCCAGCAGGAAGGGAUUCCUUCAAACUGAAGACAUCAACAACAUCCCGAAUAUACCACACGUAACGUGAGGUCGUAGGAAUGGGAGUGUGUGUGUGGAAAUGAUGCCAGAGUGACCCAUUACCAAGUGACCUUCCCUGAGGUGCUGGAUGUGGUGUUGAGACAUUGCAGGGCGUCUUUACCAAGGGAGUCUGCAGUAGCACCCAGAGCUGACCCUGACAUUGUGGGGGCUGGUGCCAUGCCGAAGGCUACUUUCUCACCCCAUAUGCCUGGGGAAGAGGCCAUAUGUGAGAAAGUAGCCAUCCGGCUCCCACAUCCAAAAUAUGGAUGCACUCAAAUGGGCCCUCCACAGAGAUCUGAACCCCUGCAGCCACAAAGGGUAAUUAUCUAACCCUGAAGAAAUGAGCACAAUAUCGGCCAGAUGCAGGCUGUGGACCAUAGAGAAAGUGAUGUCACGCUUUGGUGUAACACGCCAUGUUUUGAGGAUCCUGCUGCAUUUCUGUUGAUGCGGAAAUGAGCCGAUCUGUGAUUCAAAGUCCGUGAUCCAUCCCAAAGCGUGACGUUCCUGAAGUUGUACCCCUGAUGACAGCCAGAGGGUAAAACACCUCCACAUGUGAGAAGUCUGCACUCAUGAAUGUACCAGAUGAGAGAGACAGACCAGGCAAAACACCAUUCAAUUACAUCUGUUCACAAAAACAUCGGAGACUAUUCAGGUAUUCUAAACUAACUGGUAGUAUAGUAGGGACGUGUAUGGGAAAAAUGACACUUUAUACAGUAAAACAUAAGUAUCAUCUCAUUUCCAAGAAGGUUGUUUAAAAUAAUUUACAUUCUGAUGGCUGUAUUAAUAUAUGAGACAGUCAAAGACAUUAAAUAGAAUAAAUAAGGUUGGUCAUUUUCUAUAUUUAUACUUUAACACUCCCUAUACAGGGACUAAAGCCAGCGAUGAAUAGCCUCUACUCACUGUUCACGUCUCAGUCUCAAACCUGGAACAGCUUGUUCUAUAGAGUUCUGUUGUUUAAAAACACAGCAGUGAGUCACACCAAUGCACUGGGUGACAUCUUUUUUUUAUUACAUAACACCAGACCCACAUAUUUGUCAAAACUGUUGCCCCAAAAGCUCCAAACGACCAUAACUUUUCACAGUUCGCACGGAGAUCUCGUGCUUGUGCAGUUGCUACUUCAGACGCUGUAAAAAGUCAUGGUCAUUUGGAGCAAUGUUUUUAACAAAUAUUUGGCUCUGGUGUUUUGCAAUAAGGUGGGGGAGUCACCCAGUGCAGUGGUGGGUUUCACUGAUGUUUUUAAACAACAGUGGUCUAUUGCAUAGACAAUGAUCCAGGGUGGAGACUGACAGACACUAACCGUGAGUAGAGGUAAUUUAGUCUCUGAAUGGUGAUUGUUGAAAAUACUAUUAAUAUAAAAAGUGACCAGCUUUAUCCUUUAGUUAAAUAUUUUGGGGAAUAGGAUAAUUUGGUUCAGGCCCAAAGUUGGUACAGGAAGACUGGUAACAUUGAUGCAUCUGUACAGCUAAUGUGAAGCUACAACUAGUUGUUAGCUUAGGUUAGCACAAAGACUGGAAAACUGUCACCCCGGCUCUAUCCGUGGUACCAAAUCACCCUCGUAGUACCUCUGCAGUUAACACUAUCUUGUUUGUUUGAUCCUCGCCGAAGCGAAAGUGUAAGACGGCAUGCUGUGGUUUUAUAGGAGUUGCUGUACAGAUGCAGCAUGUUGAGUGGUAUUGAUCUAAAAAAAAAAAA
Monopterus albus (swamp eel) is the source of this 1909-nucleotide long non-coding RNA. RefSeq lists it as uncharacterized. The transcript is spliced from 7 exons. NCBI's taxonomy places the organism in Eukaryota, Metazoa, Chordata, Actinopteri, Synbranchiformes, Synbranchidae. The record is from RefSeq and is a predicted model, not a curated record.